CCGGAGUGGACGCAUCACUGGUGUUCGGGUUGUCAUGCCAAUGGCACUGCCCGGUAGCUAAAUGCGGAAGAGAUAAGUGCUGAAAGCAUCUAAGCACGAAACUUGCCCCGAGAUGAGUUCUCCCUGAGACUUAGAGUCUCCUGAAGGAACGUUGAAGGCGACGACGUUGAUAGGCCGGGUGUGUAAGCGCAGCGAUGCGUUGAGCUAACCGGUACUAAUGAACCGUGAGGCUUAACCUUACAACGCCGAAG
Molecule: ribosomal RNA, 251 nt
Filed under: Escherichia coli
Lineage: Bacteria; Pseudomonadati; Pseudomonadota; Gammaproteobacteria; Enterobacterales; Enterobacteriaceae
Description: partial 23S ribosomal RNA
Rfam family: Bacterial large subunit ribosomal RNA
Source: RNAcentral